This 429-nucleotide ribosomal RNA is filed under the name Acidobacteriota bacterium. RNAcentral's name for it is "Acidobacteria bacterium partial 16S ribosomal RNA". It matches the Rfam family "Bacterial small subunit ribosomal RNA", at positions 355 to 776 of the family's 1533-position model. The record is from RNAcentral. Lineage: Bacteria; Pseudomonadati; Acidobacteriota.
UGGGGAAUUUUGGACAAUGGGGGAAACCCUGAUCCAGCCAUCCCGCGUGUGCGAUGAAGGCCUUCGGGUUGUAAAGCACUUUUGGCAGGAAAGAAACGUCAUGGGUUAAUACCCCGUGAAACUGACGGUACCUGCAGAAUAAGCACCGGCUAACUACGUGCCAGCAGCCGCGGUAAUACGUAGGGUGCAAGCGUUAAUCGGAAUUACUGGGUGUAAAGCGUGCGCAGGCGGUUCGGAAAGAAAGAUGUGAAAUCCCAGAGCUCAACUUUGGAACUGCAUUUUUAACUACCGGGCUAGAGUGUGUCAGAGGGAGGUGGAAUUCCGCGUGUAGCAGUGAAAUGCGUAGAUAUGCGGAGGAACACCGAUGGCGAAGGCAGCCUCCUGGGAUAACACUGACGCUCAUGCACGAAAGCGUGGGGAGCAAACAGG